GAGUAGAAAAAUCCUUAGGUUUCACUCGCACCCACCUAUCUUCCCUAACCCCUCUCACAACUCCUCAUCUCACACGCUAGAUCUCCAUCCAACUCCUCUCACGCCCUCUCCUUCCAACCCCUCUCCGGCGAACCCCUCUCCCCGAACCUCUCCUCCGAACUCCUAUCCGUCAAGACCGCGGGCAAAAUUUCCUCACCUUAUUCCUUCACCUCUUCGUCAAAUAGCAAAUGCAAUAAUCUCUUCGCCUCCGUCGACUCAUUCACGCUUCCUUCACACUACUCUUCUUAGAGAAAUCACCUUUAUAGGCGGAUCCUGAGUCCGAAGCCGAGAUUUUCGUUAGGAUUUUGAUUUUUUUUUCCCCCUUUUUGGUCUUUCCUUCGUUCGUUUGGUCUACUCGCUGUCGGUUUGUUUGUCGAAUGCCCUAGCACAUGUUGUCUCUUUAUUAGAUUUCAGUUCAUGGAUUUUGGAUUACCUUUUGUUUUGUGUGAAGGGGCGGCUAACCACUUGGGAGCUUGGUGGCGGUGAUCUGCGAAGCAAAUUGGAAGGUUGAGGUUGCGAGAUGGACCGCCGCAGUUGGAUCUGGACAUGAAAGUCAUCGGAAAAGGGCGGCAGUGAGACCUAGAGCUCGGAUUCGGUAUCUUAGAGAGGUACUCCGGUGAACAGGUUUGUUCUAUGCCUUGCCCUUGUACCUGUUGCUAUCUGUGAGAGCGUUCAAAGUUAAUAGAUUGGAAGAACACAGACCAAGCAUGCAUCAAAGAAACAAUCUUUUUUAGGAGAAAAAAGAAAGAGACGAAGCUCAAUUUAUCCAGACAAGAAGAUUGAGUUACAAGUAUAUCAAUAACUCUAGCUCUUAAAACCUAACAAGUUAAUAGAUAAGGAUUUAUGCUCUUUUUAUGCAUGAACAAAAAGUCUACCAUGAAUUUCAAGAUUGUAUCCUUUUCCUUUUUGAACUGAUCAAGCUCUGAUAUUAGAGCUGAUGCACAUGAUUCUGAACCACUCUGCUCAUGAUCUAAACUUAACUGCCUCUCUCCUGCAUCUGAUUGGCUACUUCAACAUUUCCAUCCUGCUAUUUUUCUUGAGAAUUCUGGCUCUGAGGCAAUUGAGGAGGCUCUAGUAGUUGAGGAUGAAGGUUUCUCCCUUCAUUUCUUUGUAUUUUCUUUCUGAAAUUAUUUGAACAAUCCGAAUUUUUUUACUUUGCACUUGAAAAGGUGAGCCCUCCCAUCCAUGCCUCAUAGUCUCAUUGUAUGAAACUGAUUGCUUAUUAUGUGUUUUGUAUCUUCUUUUUGACAAUUGUUUGAACAAUCCUGAAUUUCUACUUUGCACUUGAAAAGGUCAACCCUCCCAUUUAUAUUCAGGCCACAUAGUCUCAUUAUCUGAAUCUGAUUGCUUCUUAUAGGCUUUGUAUUUUCUUUUUGAAAAUUAUUUGGACAAUCCUCAAAUGUUCAACUUUCAGUAACUGGUAUGCAAUGAUUAUGUGAUCUUGGGCACCAUUCUAUGUUUCUUCCUUAAUACUUAAGUAGUUUUCGAUUUUGUUGAAAAUUCAGGCUGUGUAUCAAUUCAAUUGCUUCUAUAUUCUUUAUGUUUUCACCUAGAAUUUAUCUGCUCUAGUGAAAAGGUCUUAAUUUAAGCUUGUUUGAGAAUAGUAUUUGUUUUGGUCUCAGUUGAUUCCAGAUCUAUUUAUGUUGGAAAUCUUCCUUCAUCUAUCUCGACUUCAUACCUUGAGCAAGUCUUUAAGAAUUUUGGUAAAUUGAGAUCAGAUGGUGUUUUUAUUAGAAGCCGGAAGGUUGAUUCCAUUUAGCUUGUUGUACUAUUUUGAUUUAGUUUUAUGCAUCUUGAUUAAUUUUUAACUCAGCAAUACAUGCAAAUUUGCAAGAGUCUGAUGUUUUUAUGCUUUCAUUGAAUAUCAAGAUGCCAUUGGUGUACAAAAUGCACUUAAGGUAUGUGAUCUUCCUUAAGUUUAUUCUCACAAGUAUCAGAAUAUAUCAACUCUAUAUAGUAGUAUUUUGCAGUAUCCUUGCCUAUUUCAAGUCUAGUCUGCACUAGUAUGAUCACGUGUUGAAAUCAGUAUCUGCCUAUUGAGUGUACAUGCUUUUAUGCAGCUUCUAUAUCUUUAUUUCUUCUUGUUUAUUAAAACCAGUUUUGAGAUCUGACAUAUUUUACCGAUGAUAUUUGCAUAUAAAUCUUCUCUAUAAAAUUUCAGAUUUGUUUGUGUUCCAGCUCUGUAAAUAUCUACAUUAAUAUAUUUGAUCCUCAUUAUUAUUUACCAAGUGUUUUUUACUUCUGUAAACUAUUUCUAAAUUCAUAUCCUUGUAUCUUGUUAGCAUACUUUGUUUUUUUUCUUCAGAAUUGUUAUAUUGAGGACAACUUGAUUUUGCUUAAGAUAAAUUUAAGUUCUCGUUGUAUGAUGAGGAUUCUCUCAAAUUACAUACUUUACAUACUGGCUUUUCAUUUUCAGGCAUCUCCAAUACAGUUAAAUGGGAGAUUGAUUCAUGUCGAGGGGAGAAGACCUAAUAGCGGUGUAUCACAAGGAAAUACACAGUGGUAGGUGUUUUGUCCCAAUCUCAAGUCGACAAUCUUUUUGAUCAGUAUAUCUAGUAGAAGUAAGCAUGCAAAUCGUUGUCUUCGAGGUCGGCUAGCUAUUUUGUGUUUUUUUGUUUUAAAUUCAAAUGUCACUAUCUACUUUGAAAUAGAACUAUUUGGUCUUUGUGUAUAGUUGAAUUCUCCUGUAAAUACUAAUACUUUGUAGUUGAAUUCUAUUUUUUAGUAUGAGUUCGAAAUCA
Molecule: long non-coding RNA, 2780 nt
Organism: Zingiber officinale
Lineage: Eukaryota; Viridiplantae; Streptophyta; Magnoliopsida; Zingiberales; Zingiberaceae
Exons: 2
Source: RefSeq, a predicted model, not a curated record